AGGUAAGUAGCUUAAAGUUUAGAGCGUGGUCUUGAAGCGGCUUUGGUGAGGAAUUCCUCCUAACCUG
Molecule: transfer RNA, 67 nt
Filed under: Myadora brevis
Lineage: Eukaryota; Metazoa; Mollusca; Bivalvia; Myochamidae
Description: tRNA-Phe
Source: RNAcentral